CGGCGGACGGGUACCGGUCCGCCAGCGCCCGCAACUGUUGUUCGCGGCGGCCGACGAUCGUCACGUUGGCCCCCGCC
RNAcentral lists this transfer RNA (77 nucleotides) under Micromonospora andamanensis. Its description in RNAcentral is "tRNA-Asn". Lineage: Bacteria; Bacillati; Actinomycetota; Actinomycetes; Micromonosporales; Micromonosporaceae. The record is from RNAcentral.